This 1554-nucleotide ribosomal RNA is filed under the name Klebsiella pneumoniae. Its description in RNAcentral is "bacterial SSU rRNA". It matches the Rfam family "Bacterial small subunit ribosomal RNA". Lineage: Bacteria; Pseudomonadati; Pseudomonadota; Gammaproteobacteria; Enterobacterales; Enterobacteriaceae. The record is from RNAcentral.
ACUUAAAUUGAAGAGUUUGAUCAUGGCUCAGAUUGAACGCUGGCGGCAGGCCUAACACAUGCAAGUCGAGCGGUAGCACAGAGAGCUUGCUCUCGGGUGACGAGCGGCGGACGGGUGAGUAAUGUCUGGGAAACUGCCUGAUGGAGGGGGAUAACUACUGGAAACGGUAGCUAAUACCGCAUAAUGUCGCAAGACCAAAGUGGGGGACCUUCGGGCCUCAUGCCAUCAGAUGUGCCCAGAUGGGAUUAGCUAGUAGGUGGGGUAAUGGCUCACCUAGGCGACGAUCCCUAGCUGGUCUGAGAGGAUGACCAGCCACACUGGAACUGAGACACGGUCCAGACUCCUACGGGAGGCAGCAGUGGGGAAUAUUGCACAAUGGGCGCAAGCCUGAUGCAGCCAUGCCGCGUGUGUGAAGAAGGCCUUCGGGUUGUAAAGCACUUUCAGCGGGGAGGAAGGCGGUGAGGUUAAUAACCUCACCGAUUGACGUUACCCGCAGAAGAAGCACCGGCUAACUCCGUGCCAGCAGCCGCGGUAAUACGGAGGGUGCAAGCGUUAAUCGGAAUUACUGGGCGUAAAGCGCACGCAGGCGGUCUGUCAAGUCGGAUGUGAAAUCCCCGGGCUUAACCUGGGAACUGCAUUCGAAACUGGCAGGCUAGAGUCUUGUAGAGGGGGGUAGAAUUCCAGGUGUAGCGGUGAAAUGCGUAGAGAUCUGGAGGAAUACCGGUGGCGAAGGCGGCCCCCUGGACAAAGACUGACGCUCAGGUGCGAAAGCGUGGGGAGCAAACAGGAUUAGAUACCCUGGUAGUCCACGCCGUAAACGAUGUCGAUUUGGAGGUUGUGCCCUUGAGGCGUGGCUUCCGGAGCUAACGCGUUAAAUCGACCGCCUGGGGAGUACGGCCGCAAGGUUAAAACUCAAAUGAAUUGACGGGGGCCCGCACAAGCGGUGGAGCAUGUGGUUUAAUUCGAUGCAACGCGAAGAACCUUACCUGGUCUUGACAUCCACAGAACUUAGCAGAGAUGCUUUGGUGCCUUCGGGAACUGUGAGACAGGUGCUGCAUGGCUGUCGUCAGCUCGUGUUGUGAAAUGUUGGGUUAAGUCCCGCAACGAGCGCAACCCUUAUCCUUUGUUGCCAGCGGUCCGGCCGGGAACUCAAAGGAGACUGCCAGUGAUAAACUGGAGGAAGGUGGGGAUGACGUCAAGUCAUCAUGGCCCUUACGACCAGGGCUACACACGUGCUACAAUGGCAUAUACAAAGAGAAGCGACCUCGCGAGAGCAAGCGGACCUCAUAAAGUAUGUCGUAGUCCGGAUUGGAGUCUGCAACUCGACUCCAUGAAGUCGGAAUCGCUAGUAAUCGUAGAUCAGAAUGCUACGGUGAAUACGUUCCCGGGCCUUGUACACACCGCCCGUCACACCAUGGGAGUGGGUUGCAAAAGAAGUAGGUAGCUUAACCUUCGGGAGGGCGCUUACCACUUUGUGAUUCAUGACUGGGGUGAAGUCGUAACAAGGUAACCGUAGGGGAACCUGCGGUUGGAUCACCUCCUUACCUUAAAGAA